UACGUAGGGGGCAAGCGUUAUCCGGAUUUACUGGGUGUAAAGGGGGCGCAGACGGCAGCGCAAGCCAGGAGUGAAAGCCCGGGGCCCAACCCCGGGACUGCUCUUGGAACUGCGCGGCUGGAGUGCAGGAGGGGCAGGCGGAAUUCCUGGUGUAGCGGUGAAAUGCGUAGAUAUCAGGAGGAACACCGGUGGCGAAGGCGGCCUGCUGGACUGCAACUGACACUGAGGCUCGAAAGCGUGGGGAGCAAACAGG
Molecule: ribosomal RNA, 253 nt
Filed under: uncultured bacterium
Lineage: Bacteria
Description: partial 16S ribosomal RNA
Rfam family: Bacterial small subunit ribosomal RNA
Source: RNAcentral